This 497-nucleotide ribosomal RNA is filed under the name uncultured bacterium. Its description in RNAcentral is "partial 16S ribosomal RNA". It matches the Rfam family "Bacterial small subunit ribosomal RNA", at positions 28 to 507 of the family's 1533-position model. The record is from RNAcentral.
GAUGAACGCUGGCGGCGUGCCUAAUACAUGCAAGUCGAGCGAACAGACGAGGAUCUUGCUCCUCUGACGUUAGCGGCGGACGGGUGAGUAACACGUGGAUAACCUACCUAUAAGGCUUGGAUAACUUCGGGAAACCCGAGCUAAUACCGGAUAAUAUAUUUAACCGCAUGGUGCAAGAGUGAAUGGCGGUUUUGCUGUCGCUUAUAGAUUUAUCCGCGCCGCAUUAGCGAGGUGGUAUGGUAACGGCUUACCAAGGCAACGAUGCGUAGCCGACCCGAGAGGGUGAAGGGGGACAGUGGAACUGAGACGCGGUACAGAGACCUACGGGAGGCAGAGGUACGGACUCGACCGAACAGGGCGGAAGACUGAAGGAGCAGCGGAGGCUGAGUGCUGAAGGUCUUCGGAUCGUAAGACUCUGUUAUUAGGGAAGAACAAAUGUGUACGUAACUAUGCACGUUUUGACGGUAGCUGAUAAGAAAGCACCGGCUAACUACGUG